CUGCCACAUCGCUGUUCACCAUCUAGCAAGGGUAGAAUCAGCACAAGGGGACACAUUCUAGAGGAAUGGGCAUCAAAAGUGAGCCUCAUACACCUGUGUUCAUAGCUUUAUUCACAGCAGACAAAAGGAGAAAGUAACCCAAGUGUCCAUUGAUGGAUAAACGGAUAAACAAAAUGUAGUACAUACUUGCAAUAGAAUAUUAUUCAGCCAUUAAAAGGAAGGAAAUUCUGAUGCUAUAAUAUGGAUGAAUCUUGAGGACAUUAUGCCAGGUGAAAUGUUAGCUACAAAAAGACAAAUACUGUUUGAUUCCAUUUACAUGAGGUUCUAGAAGAGUCAAAUUCAUAGAGACAGAAAUAGAAUGGUGGUUGCCAGGGGCUGAGGAAAGCGGGGGACAGGGAGACGUUGUUCAAUGGGUACAGAGCGUCAGUUUUGCAAGACGAAAAGAGUUCUGUAGAUGGGUGAUGGCGAUGGUAGCACAGCAAUGUGAAUGUACUGAAUGCCACAGACUUAUGAAGCCCUGGGUGAGAGGACUACCAAUCACAGCCAGCUGCAAGAUUCCAGACUGGGUCAGAAGGAGAAGCCUAUUGAAUGGAGGCCUUAGUGGGUAAAGUGGAAACACACAGAAGAUACAAAACUCAUCCCUGCUGAAAUUCCAGCCGAAUGCCCAUACCCCAGUGAGAAUCUCCAGUGAUCCCUGCUCCAAACUUCAUGCUCUCCAAAUCACAUAAUCCGUCAUGCCUGGGUGGAUUGUCUUCUCCUCCUUCUAAGAAAGGGACACAGGAUAAGUGGUCCUGAGGAGAGAAGGCUUCUACCUAUAAGAUCUACCAACCUCACUCUAUUCCCAGUGUCUUCCCAGAAAUCUACUUGUGCUCAAUAUCCCAGCAUGUAAAUGCAGCAUCCUUUCAGUAACGGACAUAGGCUGAUUUGUCUGCCCUUAUCCACCACCUGUCAUUGUGAUGCUGUCAGUUAUAGUCCCCUAAUCCACUGUCCUAAGAGAUGGCAAGGGUCCCAGAACAGGCCAAUCAUAAUCCCCCACACACCUGACAGCAAGCACUGGUCCAAAGAAAGAGUGUGUGACCCCAGGUGGGCUGCCCAGAGCUCUUCCCUGGCAUUGAUUCACAGACACUACAUAAAAUCAGGCUCUACUUCUGCUGGGGUGGCUGAAGUAGGAGGAUGGGAAUCUGGGGCUGUAAGCAAGGACCUGCCUGCAGAAAGAAACCAAACAAAGAAAAAAAGAUGAGAAAUGCAGAGACAUACAUAAAUCUUGUUGCCAAGGUGCUCUGAAUCCUUUAGUUCUUCCCUCAAUCUUGCAACCUGCUCCACCAUCCAUUCCCUCUUUUGCUGAAACUAGUUUAAUUUGGGUUUUAUAGCUUACAACAAAAAGAGUCAUGAUUAGUACACCCUCUGACUUUCCUUCCAACUGAGAUAGACACUUGAGGAAAUAUAGCCUUCCUUUAAUCAUUUCAAGAUAAAGGAGUUGGCAUAGAAGGAAGAAGAAUGUAUGAAACUGUAGAGUCUUACAUAAUUGCUGUAGAGUAUGGCUGGGCUGGCUGAGAGAAGCUGUGCUGAAUGAUAAAAUAAAUAGUAACUCCAACAACAAUAACAACUAAUGGUUCUGAGCACCCCUGGCCAUGUCAAUGACCAUGGCAAAAUUCAUUUUAAAUCCCCCUGGUUAUGAGAGCUGAUUGAUGAGACAUGGGCAAAGCUUUGACUAAACUGGAGUCAAAUAGCAAAGAAGAGUCAAGUGAAACAUCAGGGAGCAUUGCAAUACUAGGCUGCCAUUUUGGAGUAUAGCAAUGGACCAAAUAAAAGCAGAUGAGUUGGCCAAGAACUUCAAGAAGAGAAAAAUGAAGCAGGCACUUCCUUACAAAGAGACAGAGGGAAGAUAUGAAGGGUGUCCUGAUCCCCUCUUCCCAGGGUCCAGCUACAACCACCCUAUUUCUGUCCUGCAAUUGAGGCAGAUGAUAUUCUCCUGUAUCUGCUUAACAACACUCCUUUCUUAUUUUUAACACUCAAUUUCUUUUUUGACCAGGUAUAGCAGUGUAAAGAAAUUACUAUUCUAACAGUUGACACUUGAGAUUUGAUUUGAUUUGCUUGUUUUUUAGAAGAACCCAUCUUUAUCAAGAAAUAUACUUUCCUAGUUGCUUUGGGGUGGAGAAGAUGAGAUCCCAAACCUACCUUGUAAGGAGAACAAGAAAUAAAGAGAGAGGUAAACUUUGCUCCAGAAGAAAUGGUCCAGAAUAUUGAAGGUAGGCAAAGACAGGGGAGAAAGAGGACUAGAUCUGGUGGGAAACUGGAUUAAUCCGAAGCCUGUAGAUUAAGGGCACCAGUGAGAAGUUUCCUGUCGUGGAAUGGCCAAGAAGUUUUAAGACAGGGUGUCAAAUCUAC
Molecule: long non-coding RNA, 2388 nt
Filed under: Equus caballus (horse)
Lineage: Eukaryota; Metazoa; Chordata; Mammalia; Perissodactyla; Equidae
Description: lncRNA (ENSECAG00000053554.1)
Source: RNAcentral